Molecule: ribosomal RNA, 565 nt
Filed under: uncultured Glomeromycotina
Lineage: Eukaryota; Fungi; Glomeromycota
Description: SSU rRNA
Rfam family: Eukaryotic small subunit ribosomal RNA
Source: RNAcentral
UUGGAGGGCAAGUCUGGUGCCAGCAGCCGCGGUAAUUCCAGCUCCAAUAGCGUAUAUUAAAGUUGUUGCAGUUAAAAAGCUCGUAGUUGAAUUUCGGGAUCAAUUUGCUGGUCGUGCCUCUGGUACGUACUGGUAUUAUUGGUUUCUCCCUUCUGACGAACCAUGAUGUCAUUAAUUUGAUGUCGUGGAGAAUCAGGACUGUUACUUUGAAAAAAUUAGAGUGUUUAAAGCAGGCAUUAGCUUGAAUACAUUAGCAUGGAAUAAUGAAAUAGGACGUUUGAUCCUAUUUUGUUGGUUUCUAGGAUUGACGUAAUGAUUAAUAGGGAUAGUUGGGGGCAUUAGUAUUCAAUUGUCAGAGGUGAAAUUCUUGGAUUUAUUGAAGACUAACUACUGCGAAAGCAUUUGCCAAGGAUGUUUUCAUUAAUCAGGAACGAAAGUUAGGGGAUCGAAGGCGAUCAGAUACCGUCGUAGUCUUAACCAUAAACUAUGCCGACUAGGGAUCGGAUGAUGUUAAUUUUUUAAUGACUCAUUCGGCGCCUUACGGGAAACCAAAGUGUUUGGGUUC